This is an RNA transcript of Sapajus apella (tufted capuchin), 562 nucleotides long. It is a transcript of the gene named pancreatic progenitor cell differentiation and proliferation factor pseudogene, with no coding region annotated. The transcript has a single exon. Lineage: Eukaryota; Metazoa; Chordata; Mammalia; Primates; Cebidae. The record is from RefSeq and is a predicted model, not a curated record.
CAUGCGCGUCUCGGUCGUGGAGCGCGCCCCCGUGUUCUCCUCUGCAAAUGGGCUCCGUGGCCAAGCGCCCCCAUCCCCACCACCUGUGAUCACGCAGAGGCCUGGAGGGGUCGCCGCCCAGGUCCCACCAGCCCGCGAGGCAGAGCAUGGCAGCCAUCCCCUCCAGCCGCUCGCUCGUGGCUGCCCACGACUACUACCGGCGCCGCCUGGGUUCCACUUCCAGCAACAGCUCCUGCGGCAGUACCGAGUGCCCCGCGGAAGCCAUUCCCCACCCCCCGGGUAUCCCCAAGGCUGCCCAGGGUCACUGCUGGGCCAGCUUCUUUUCGGGAGGUCCACCCUCCAGUUCAUGGCCACGGUGCUGGAGUCCGCGGAGCACGCGGAACGCCCCCAGGCCUCCAGCAGCAUGACCACCUGUGGCCUGGCUCCAGAUGCCCCGAGGAGCCCCGUGGUCAGUCCAGCACUGCUGGACUGGGCCCCCGUCCUGACCUGAGGGGUGACCACCAGCCCCAGGCCUGCGGACGUGCUAGGCCACCAGAGCCCCUCCCGCCCCCUCCCCACCCCC